AUUGAACGCUGGCGGCAGGCUUAACACAUGCAAGUCGAGCGGUAACAGAGAGAAGCUUGCUUCUCUGCUGACGAGCGGCGGACGGGUGAGUAAUGCCUAGGAAUCUGCCUAGUAGUGGGGGAUAACUUGCCGAAAGGUAAGCUAAUACCGCAUACGUCCUACGGGAGAAAGGAGUGGACCUUCGGGCCUUUCGCUAUUAGAUGAGCCUAGGUCGGAUUAGUUAGUUGGUGAGGUAAUGGCUCACCAAGACCGCGAUCCGUAACUGGUCUGAGAGGAUGCUCAGUCACACUGGAACUGAGAUACGGUCCAGACUCCUACGGGAGGCAGCAGUGGGGAAUAUUGGACAAUGGGGGGAACCCUGAUCCAGCCAUGCCGCGUGUGUGAAGAAGGUCUUAGGAUUGUAAAGCACUUUAAGUUGGGAGGAAGAGCAGUUAACUAAUAUUUGACUGUUUUGACGUUACCGACAGAAUAAGCACCGGCUAACUUCGUGCCAGCAGCCGCCGUAA
RNAcentral lists this ribosomal RNA (506 nucleotides) under uncultured bacterium. RNAcentral's name for it is "partial 16S ribosomal RNA". It matches the Rfam family "Bacterial small subunit ribosomal RNA", at positions 30 to 523 of the family's 1533-position model. The record is from RNAcentral.